Molecule: long non-coding RNA, 709 nt
Organism: Frankliniella occidentalis (western flower thrips)
Lineage: Eukaryota; Metazoa; Arthropoda; Insecta; Thysanoptera; Thripidae
Exons: 3
Source: RefSeq, a predicted model, not a curated record
GCGCAGAUAGCGUCCCAGUUCUCCUGGUGACAUGCGAUACGAGGCGCGCGCCCGGCCCGCGUCCCCCUGCCAGCAGUUUGCCCGUUCAGCGUCGGCGUCGAAUAAGCUGCCCACCUGCCGGGAGCCGCUUCUGCAGCGCGCGCCUGGAAUCCAAUCUUCACUGUGAAAAAAAGUGCUGCAGUCGCCCUGGGCCACGGUGGCGGCCACGCCACGCCACACCAUGAACAACAACAAGAACAACAUCAUCAACAACAACAACAUCAACAAACUGUCGAAGGGAGGAUGAAAUGAGAAGAAAAAUGGAUGACCACGUGCCCACGUCCCAGCCUCAAGGUCAGACGCUCCCUGACGGAUACGUGACUACGGCAGGUUGACUUAACCGGACAAGAGUUUUUCUCCUGUGAGUAACCUGAAAAGAUUGAGCGUUUACCGCAAAUGGUCGAACUCCGAUCGGUGAGAGUAUUUGUUUUCAAAUUUAAACUGGGUACAAUGCUCCCUCCAAACUGGCGACAACCUCGUAUUUUAUACCCUCUCUCAUUUUCAACUUUGUCCACUAUUUGAAAACCAUUCGAACCAGUGCAGAUUUGACGCUCUUGAUCUGCUGACCUGCACUCCCCUGCGCGUCUCUGCUGUGCUGACAGCGGAAUAGGGGACUCAUUUGAAAGCGGCGCAUCCGCGAAAAGAAGAACCACAACGCUUCGAUUUAAUA